RNA transcript from Panicum virgatum (switchgrass), 3975 nucleotides. It is a transcript of the gene named DNA mismatch repair protein PMS1-like, with no coding region annotated. The record is from RefSeq and is a predicted model, not a curated record. Lineage: Eukaryota; Viridiplantae; Streptophyta; Magnoliopsida; Poales; Poaceae. The transcript is spliced from 12 exons.
CUAGUACUUUCUAAUACUUAAUCUAACACUAAAUGCACUUGUAUCAACGCUAAUCAUUACAAGUAACUGCACCUAAAUGUACCACUAAUCACUCCUAACAAUAAUUAAAUUGAUUGCUAAUCUACUAUUUCAACAAAAAUAAUUACAACAUAAUCUAUUUGUAAAGCGUAGAAGAAUUUUGGUUACCUGCAGUCGCCGGCUCGAAAAUCCGGCAGGACUUCGCCGCUCUCCCUCUCUCCCUCUUUUUUCUGGAUUUCUGGAAUUUUAGUGAUGUAAAUGAGGGGCGGGGAACCAGCCAACCCUUAUAUAAGGGUGGGACAGCCGGUCGCCCAGUAGCCGGGCGGCCAGGGCCGGUCGCCCCGCUACCGGGCGACCGGCCCCCAAGAACCUGCGCGCAAUUAUUUGAGCAAAAGUUUUUGCACAAAAACUCAUGCCGCUCUGCUGCCGGGUACAUUCCCGGGUACAUUCUGUAAAUUUUCAAAUCAAAAAUAUAUUUUUUAAAAAACGAAAAUAAAAUAAUAAAAUAAUAAAAAAAACCGCGCCAGUAGCGUGGGUUCCAGAGGAAGCCGAAGCCGGAAAGCCCCUUUCCACCGCCGCGAGGCGUAGGGUUUAGGGAGGAAUGGCUGGAGGAGGGGGAGGAGGCUGGCGCGGCGAUUCCUCGCCGGCGAUCAAGCCCAUAAGCAAGGCCGUGGUGCACCGCAUCUGCUCCGGCCAGGUCAUCUUCAACCUCUCCUCCGCCGUGAAGGAGCUCGUCGAGAACAGCCUCGACGCCGGCGCCACGUCCGUCGAGGUCAGCCUCAAGGCCUACGGCGAGGAGUGGUUCAAGGUCGCCGACAACGGCUUCGGCAUCUCGCCCGCCAACUUCCAGGCGCUUGCACUUAAGCACCACACUUCCAAGAUAUCGGAUUUCUCCGACCUUGGAUCCGUGGUCACAUUCGGAUUCCGGGGUGAAGCGCUGAGCUCGCUCUGCGCGCUGGGGAAACUGACGGUUGAGACGAGGACCAAGGAUGAGCCCGUCGGGACGCAUUUGGAGUUUGAGCACUCCGGCGUGGUGGCCAACCAGACGAAAAUCGCACGGCAGGUUGGAACCACGGUGACAGUCGAGAAGUUGUUCUCCACCUUGCCGGUCCGGAGCAAGGAGUUUAGCAGGAACAUUCGGAAAGAGUAUGGGAAAGUGAUCUCCCUGUUGAAUGCUUACGCCUUGAUUGCCAAAGGGGUCAGAUUGCUUUGCACUAAUACCGUCGGAAAAAAUUCUAAAAUGGUGGUGCUUAGGACUCAAGGAAGCAGUUCAAUGAAAGACAAUAUCAUUACCAUAUUUGGUCUGAACACUUUCAAGUGUCUUGAGCCCUUUAGUGUUACCAUCUCAGAUGGCUGCCAAGUAGAAGGCUAUCUCUCAAAACCUGGACCUGGUACCGGUCGCAAUUCAGGAGAUAGACAAUUCUUCUAUGUCAAUGGCAGACCUAUCGAUAUGCCAAAGAUCACUAAACUUGUCAAUGAGCUAUACAGAAGCUCAAAUGCAAAGCAAUAUCCUGUGGCUAUCCUGGAUUUCCGUAUUCCAACUACAUCCUAUGAUGUGAAUGUAGCACCUGACAAGAGAAAAAUUUUCUUCUCCUCUGAGAGUAUGAUUCUGCGAUCAUUACGGGAAGCUGUUGAAAAUAUGUACUCCCCUCAACAAUGCAGUUUCUUGAUCAAUCAUGUUGAAGAACCUGAAAAGGAAGAGGAUACUACUGAUGGCCAUAAUGAAGACACAAAUUUGAUAGCAGCAGACAAUGUUUCAUCUCCUGACAAUAGUGAUGACAAUGAAGAAACAGACAUUGAGGAUCAGAUUUCACCAGAGAACCAGAAAGAGCCUUCUUCAGCGACAAAGGUAGCAAUUGAAGCCACAUCUAGAGAUUUGAGCCCCCUGUCUAGAGGCACAGCUGCCCAGGCUGAUAGAUCUGUUUGGCUUCCAUCCUUCUCAUAUGAACAACCAAAAAGAUUGCCUAAAGAAGGAAAAGAUUAUGCAUCAGGAACAAAUCAUUUUAGAACUGGUCUUGCUGCAAAAUCUACCCAAUCACCUACUGUUCAAUCUUCUAUUAUGAACUUUGUAUCACUAAACAAGCGCAAGCAUGAAGAUGAUUGCAAUCUUAUUUCGGAAGCUCCAGUGCUGAGGAGAGGGACAUGCAUAGAACAAGUGAGGGAAACAAGUUUAGAAGCCAACUUUGUAUCACCAAACAAGCAGAACAACAUAGAUGAUUGCAGUCUUAUUUCUGAAGCUCCGGUGCUGAGAAGAGGUACUUGCUUAGAACAGGUGAGGAGAACAAGUUUAGAAGGAAACUUUGCUUCAUCAAAUAAGCAGAAGCACGAAGAUAAAUGCAGUAUUAUCUCUGAAACUCCAGUGUUGAGAAGAAAAGCAUGCUCAGAACAAGUGGGGAGAACAGUAGAAGCAAAUUCACCAGCUGCAUUGAGAUCAUGCACAUCUAAUAUUUCUGAGUUCAAUUUGCCUCUGGAAACAAACUCUUUAAAACAUCAUUCUCCACAAUCAUUUGUAUCUGUGAGGGCAGAUGUUUCACCACAGCAUUCAAAACCGCCUAAUACUGUGACCCAUGGUGCACAAGUAUCAAGUCCAUGUGAUGUUCACACUACAGAACCUGAUGUGGAUGUGCAGCAUGAUCGAUGCCUUCCAAUUUCUGGUGCUCCCAAUAAAUAUUCAGAAGUUGAACAUCAGAAUACAAUGAGCGAUAGUCCUUCGCUUGAUGCUCAUGAUUAUGAUGCAGGCGAUGCAGUAUGUUCUGCAUCUGUACAAUAUCCCAGUAUGCAAUUUACUGUUGCUGAGCUUAGGAGAAGAAGAAAGAAUGGUUUUAGGAUAUCACAUGCAAAUAAAGCAAAUAGUCUUGAGAAAGCUACAAGGUGCUAUAAAGCCGCAACACUGGAUAUUUAUGUACCCUCAGGUGACGAGGCAAAAUCUAAUUCAUUAGCUGCAGCCACCAAUGAAUUGGACAGGCUUUUCAGUAAAGAUGAUUUUGGAGAAAUGGAGGUUGUUGGGCAAUUUAAUCUUGGUUUUAUCAUUGGAAAGCUUAACCAGGAUCUGUUUAUUGUAGAUCAGCAUGCUGCUGAUGAGAAGUACAACUUUGAGGGCCUAUCACAAUCGACAACUUUGAACAUACAGCCUCUUCUCCAGCCACUGAGGCUUGAUCUAUCACCAGAGGAAGAAGUAGUUGUUUCUAUGAACAUGAGCACUAUCAGAAAAAAUGGUUUGUCUUGGAAGAAGAUUUGCAUGCUUCUCCUGGUAACCAUUAUCUUUUGAAGGCUGUGCCUUUCAGCAAAAAUAUUACAUUUGGUGUUCAAGAUGUAAAGGAGUUGAUCUCCAUGCUUGCUGAUAGUCAAGGAGAUUGUUCAAUAAUCAGUAGCUACAAGCUCGAUAAAAGUGAUUCUGUUUGCCCAUCGAGGGUUCGUGCUAUGUUGGCUUCGAGGGCUUGCCGAAUGUCUACUAUGAUCGGCGAUCCACUAACAAAAGUCGAGAUGAGAAAGAUACUUAAAAACCUAACAGGAUUAAGGUCCCCUUGGAAUUGUCCACAUGGGAGGCCAACAAUGCGUCACCUGGCUGAUCUGCAUGCUAUAAGAAACAAAGAUUCUGCAGGAGUAGAUGUGGCGUUGUGAUGGCAGCCCAGCUGAUUGGCGGAGGGGCUUGUGCUGUUCCAUUUUCGCCAGUCUCAGCUCCCAUGUGCCACUGGAAGAACGUUUCUAUCUGGGGCUACUGUAAAUUAUGGCCUGCGCACAUAUGCGCCGCCUGUAAAUUUUGACGCACUAUGCAACUCCUCUGAGGACUGAGGUGUUUGGCUGGCUCCACUCAGCUCUAGGCUGGAGUUUGCAGUUGGAACCAUGCCAAACAGGGCCUAAAUCUCUGGCGCUGCUUAUUUAUUUUGUAUCCAAGGAUGUAUGUACAUAUGGCGUUUUCUAUCUGCAAUGAGAGUUUGCGAACUCUGCGUCUGCGUA